This 490-nucleotide ribosomal RNA is filed under the name uncultured bacterium. Its description in RNAcentral is "partial 16S ribosomal RNA". It matches the Rfam family "Bacterial small subunit ribosomal RNA", at positions 30 to 507 of the family's 1533-position model. The record is from RNAcentral.
AUUGAACGCUGGCGGCAGGCCUAACACAUGCAAGUCGAACGGUAACAGGAAGCAGCUUGCUGCUUUGCUGACGAGUGGCGGACGGGUGAGUAAUGUCUGGGAAACUGCCUGAUGGAGGGGGAUAACUACUGGAAACGGUAGCUAAUACCGCAUAACGUCGCAAGACCAAAGAGGGGGACCUUCGGGCCUCUUGCCAUCGGAUGUGCCCAGAUGGGAUUAGCUAGUAGGUGGGGUAACGGCUCACCUAGGCGACGAUCCCUAACUGGUCUGAGAGGAUGACCAGCCACACUGGAACUGAGACACGGUCCAGACUCCUACGGGAGGCAGCAGUGGGGAAUAUUGCACAAUGGGCGCAAGCCUGAUGCAGCCAUGCCGCGUGUAUGAAGAAGGCCUUCGGGUUGUAAAGUACUUUCAGCGGGGAGGAAGGGAGUAAAGUUAAUACCUUUGCUCAUUGACGUUACCCGCAGAAGAAGCACCGGCUAACUCCGUG